GUGGAGGACCGAACCCACAUCCGUUGAAAAGGGUGGGGAUGAGGUGUGGAUAGGGGAGAAAUUCCAAUCGAACCCGGAGAUAGCUGGUUCUCCUCGAAAUAGCUUUAGGGCUAGCCUCGUAUUAGUCUAGUGGAGGUAGAGCACUGAAUUUCCUAGGGGGCGUCAAAGCUUACCGAAGAAUAUCAAACUCCGAAUGCCAUAUAGAUGAUGUACGGGAGUCAGACUGCACGAGAUAAGUUGGGCAGUCAAAAGGGAAAGAGCCCAGACCGCCAGCUAAGGUCCCAAAGUGUGUGUUAAGUGGAAAAGGAUGUGGGAUUUCGAAGACAACUAGGAUGUUGGCUCAGAAGCAGCCAUACAUUAAAAGAGUGCGUAAUAGCUCACUAGUCGAGAGGUCCUGCGCCGAAAAUGUCCGGGGCUGAAACACAACACCGAAGCUGCGGAACCCGCAAGGGUUGGUAGAGGAGCAUUCUUAAAGGAACGAAGCAGUACCGUAAGGAGCUGUGGACUUUUAAGAAGAGAGAAUGCCGGAAUGAGUAGCGAGAGUAAGGUGAGAAUCCUUACGGCCGAAUAUCCAAGGUUUCCAGGGUAAAGCUGAUCUGCCCUGGGGAAGUCGGGACCUAAGGCGAGGCCGAGAGGCGUAGCCGAUGGACAACAGGUUGAGAUUCCUGUACUACAGUAUGACAGAACUGUGGGGACGCAGAAGGAGAGCACUACCUGGAAUGGAAUCCAGGGGCAAGCACAGGAGGGGUACGGCUGGAAAAACCGCCGUGCAACCCAAAGGUGUGACGCAUACCGAACUAAAGUAGGGAAAUGUGUGAGCCGGCUGCCGAGAAAAGCCGCUAUUGUUUGUACUGUACCCGUACCGUAAACCGACACAGGUGGAUGAGGAGAGAAUCCUAAGGCCGACGGAAGAAGCAUUGCUAAGGAACUCGGCAAAAUGACCCUGUAACUUCGGGAGAAAGGGUGCCUCGAAAGAGGCCGCAGAGAAUAGGCCCAAGCAACUGUUUAGCAAAAACACAGGUCUAUGCAAAACCGCAAGGUGAAGUAUAUGGGCUGACGCCUGCCCGGUGCUGGAAGGUUAAGGGGAGAUGUCAGGAGACGAAGCAUCGAACUUAAGCCCCAGUAAACGGCGGCCGUAACUAUAACGGUCCUAAGGUAGCGAAAUUCCUUGUCGGGUAAGUUCCGACCCGCACGAAAGGCGUAAUGAUUUGGGCGCUGUCUCGGCAAUGCAUCCGGUGAAAUUGAAGUGCCAGUGAAGAUGCUGGCUACCCGCGCCAGGACGGAAAGACCCCAUGGAGCUUUACUCCAGCUUGAUACUGGGAUUCGGUAUUGUAUGUACAGGAUAGGUGGGAGGCUGAGAAAUGGUGACGCCAGUCGCCAUGGAGCCGCUGUUGGGAUACCACCCUUGCAGUACUGGAUUUCUAACCAGCAGCCGUUAACCGGCUGGGGGACAAUGUCAGGUGGGGAGUUUGACUGGGGCGGUCGCCUCCGAAAGGGUAUCGGAGGCGCUCAAAGGUUCCCUCAGAAUGGUCGGAAACCAUUCGAAGAGUGCAAAGGCAGAAGGGAGCUUGACUGCGACACCGACGGGUGGGGCAGGUACGAAAGUAGGACUUAGUG
This 1617-nucleotide ribosomal RNA is filed under the name human gut metagenome. Its description in RNAcentral is "bacterial LSU rRNA". It matches the Rfam family "Bacterial large subunit ribosomal RNA", at positions 766 to 2417 of the family's 2925-position model. The record is from RNAcentral.